UUGCCUCUUGCCACACAGAUGUUGCAGGCAAGUGUGAAACCCUCUGCUCUUUGCUUCUGUGCAGGUGCUGCAGGAAGAGCAGAAUGAGAAGAGGGCUUUAACAGAGACACUGCUCCAAACUCGGGGACAGCUCAGCCAAGCGUGCCAGCAGGUCCAGCAGCUCAGGCAGGAGGUGAAAGAGCAGCAAGAGAAGGGACAGACCAUCAAGGCAAAGCUGCAAGCUGAGCUGCAGGAAGCUCACAAUGAAAUGCUGGCAGUGCAGAGGAGGCACAAGGAAGAAUUUCAGGGCAUCAGAGAGAGGAGAUGAAUGUCCUCCUUGAGCAGAGGGAUGCUCUACAAAAGCAAGUGGAAGAGUUGACAUCUCAGCUGGCAGCCUCCCGAGAGUUCCUGGAAAGCAGAGUCCAGAGAGCCCAGCAAGAUGUGAGCGAGGCCCAGGCACAGUCAAGGCAGAAGCAAUUGGAGGCUGAACACAUCCAGAAGAGGCUGGAGGAGGCAGAACAUCAGAAGAAGGAGCUCCAAGUGAAGCUGCAGAAACUGGAGAGGGAAUGGAGUGAAUGCAAAGAAGUGGCACUGGAAAAUUUUGAAUUGCAGGCUUCCGUGAAUGUCCUAGAGAGGGAAAGAGACAGGCUGAUUCUGUCUCUGGAGGAAAAGAGCAUGGAUCUCAGAAUGCUGGAACAAAGG
Molecule: long non-coding RNA, 681 nt
Filed under: Cyanistes caeruleus (blue tit)
Lineage: Eukaryota; Metazoa; Chordata; Aves; Passeriformes; Paridae
Description: lncRNA (ENSCCEG00000003111.1)
Source: RNAcentral